UUCCUUUCCAGCUCCUUUUCCUGGGUCAGAUGACUGGUUUGUUCCCGUGCUUUUAUCUGGCCCCAAGGCGCAGCCGUUUACUGACCCGGACAUUUCUGCCUGUCUCCUAUCCUCCCCAUGAAAGCAGGCUUCUCCUCUGACCCGCCUCCAUACACCGACUCAGUGAGUCACUUUCUUCUGUCACCUGCCAGUCGGCCGCCCCAGCUUCUCCCUCGCUAGCUCUGAGUGCUGUCGAAAGGAAAUCCUUCCAGUACUCCUCUAACCUGCUUCUGUCUGAACCAGUUGCUCUCAGGAGUAGCUCCGCAAUAGUCAUUGUCACUGUCCUUUACCUAUUGCCUGGGAGAUGUCCUUCCUGUCCAUCUGGAUCUUUUAUUUCUUGAGUCCUACAAGACUUGUCUUCCUGACCGAAUUCUCCAGUUUUGGCAGUAAUGCUUCCUCCAGAAUCUGGAUUUAUGGGUUCCUCUUGGCUCUCUUACAAUGGAAACAUCACAAUACUUGGACCUUCUGCUUUCACAGUCACGUGGGGUUCAGGGGUUCAGAGAAAUAACAAGCAAGACCCAUGGAAGUUCAUGCCUGAGAAAUCACAUCUGGACCCUC
Long non-coding RNA from Mus musculus (house mouse), 597 nucleotides. RefSeq annotates it as predicted gene, 41207. NCBI's taxonomy places the organism in Eukaryota, Metazoa, Chordata, Mammalia, Rodentia, Muridae. The record is from RefSeq and is a predicted model, not a curated record. The transcript is spliced from 3 exons.